This 253-nucleotide long non-coding RNA is filed under the name Gossypium raimondii (Peruvian cotton). Its description in RNAcentral is "long non-coding RNA (GRAI_LNC004203)". Lineage: Eukaryota; Viridiplantae; Streptophyta; Magnoliopsida; Malvales; Malvaceae. The record is from RNAcentral.
GGGCGGAAAAUGGGCCGUACAGCUUCGACCUGGAAUUCAUUGUCAAGUCAUCCGCAACUGUUUGUUUAGUCAAAACAACAAUUCAGUUUGAUCGAAUCGUCUAGUUUCGUUUGUUUGCUGUGUUUCCAUGUUACGUUUUAAGAUUUAUUGAUUGGAAUUAAUCCUAUUUUAUUUACAUUCCACUUAUUUUGAUUUCAUAAAUCAAAAUCAAGAUCAAAAUGAAAAUGAGAAAAAGAAAGAAGAAUGAAAAAAG